AGAGUUUGAUCCUGGCUCAGACUGAACGCUGGCGGCAUGGCUAAAACAUGCAAGUCGAACGGGCCCGCAAGGUAGUGGCGGAAGGGUGAGUAAUGAUAUCGAACGUACCCCGAGGUGGCGGAUAGGCAUGGGAAACUGUGCGUAAUACGUCAUGAUCUCGUGAGAGCAAAGCAGCAAUGCGCCUUGGGAGCGGCGAUAUUCCUAUCAGGUAGUUGGCGGGGUAACGGCCCACCAAGCCGAAGACGGGUAGCCGGUAUGAGAGUACGGCCGGCCACAUCGGGACUGAGACACUGCCCGGACUCUACGGGAGGCUGCAGUAACGAAUAUUCCACAAUGCACGAAAGUGUGAUGGAGCAAUGCCGCGUGUGGGAUGAAGCGGUUUUCCGUGUAAACCACUGUCAGGGAAUAGAAACAUUGAUCAUUCCCAAAGGAAGGGGCGACUAACUCUGUGCCAGCAGUCGCGGUAAUACAGAGGCCCCAAGCGUUAGUCGGAAUCACUGGGCUUAAAGGGUGCGUAGGCGGGUCAGUAAGUGUCUUGUGAAAGCCCACGGCUCAACCGUGGAACCGCAGGGCAUACUGCUGAUCUUGAGGAAGGUAGAGGCCGGUGGAACGAUAGGUGGAGCGGUGGAAUGCGUAGAGAUCUAUCGGAACGCCAAUGGUGAAGACAGCCGGCUGGGCCUUUCCUGACGCUGAGGCACGAAAGCGUGGGGAGCAAACAGGAUUAGAUACCCUGGUAGUCAAUCGAAUU
Molecule: ribosomal RNA, 748 nt
Filed under: uncultured bacterium
Lineage: Bacteria
Description: bacterial SSU rRNA
Rfam family: Bacterial small subunit ribosomal RNA
Source: RNAcentral